Molecule: long non-coding RNA, 1338 nt
Filed under: Anas platyrhynchos platyrhynchos (common mallard)
Lineage: Eukaryota; Metazoa; Chordata; Aves; Anseriformes; Anatidae
Description: lncRNA (ENSAPLG00000024376.1)
Source: RNAcentral
AUGGAUCCCUUGGGUGCUGGAUCCACUAGAGGGCACCCCCCGGCCACCCAGGGAUGGGGAUGGGGCUCCGAAAAGCCAGACAAAAACCAAAUCCAGGUGACAUUUCGGCUGGAGCUGUGCCCCAGGGGGCCACAGCCUCUGGCUGCUGCAGCUCCUGGAGCCGCCUCACCUGUGGGGGCAAAAUCACGCUGGAGGCUCGUUGUGGUGCACUCGCUUUGUUUUAAUGAAAGCCUGGGUGCUGAAGCACAACUUCCCCGUCCCAGAGCACGGGAGAUGUUUGUAAUCAUGGGCACCAGGCCUUGUUUAACAGUCCCCAGCCCGCUCACAAAUCCCGGAGCUGAGCUAGCACCUCGCAGCUCCUCAGCAGAGGAAGGCAGAGCCUGGAGGGCCUCGUGGUUCACGGGCACGGGGCGUGCAGAGAGCUGUAGCAGCUCGCCAGGGCAGAGCCCUUUUUCCUUUCAGAGCCGUGCCAGCAGUCCUCGUCUCGGUAGCCAAGUUCCUGGAGCCCUCUCCACAGCUCCUGCCUCGCUGCUGGCGAGGAGCAGAGCUCCGCGGGCACCUCUCUGCCAACAACCCCCCGGUGCUAAUUUCUCCUCUAAAAUUCCUCAGGGAAAAAUGCCCCAGGCAGAAUCCGCAGCUGACCAAGGAGGUCUUGGAAGGGGGCACCCAAGCCAAGCAGGGAACAGCUCCUGCUGCAGGAAGGUGCCUCCGUGCCGGGGCCAGGCUGAGGCUGCAUCCAUGUGCUGCUCCGGUGGAGGUGGUGGGGUCAAAAUCAGAGAGCUUGUUCCAGGGGUCUCAGGCUUUGAAGCAGUCGUUGGUCCUGCUGAGAGAUGUCCCUUCUCCGGUCCCCGUUUGGUGAGAUGGAAGCAGGAGGUGCCUGUGGGGCUGGGGGGGGGGCUUCUCAAACCUCAUCCCGGUGGAGCAGGACCGCGACGGCUGAGGGCUGCGGCGCUUCUGCUGCCGCCACGCAGGGGGGCUAAGGGAGGGGGGGCCCAGCUCCCACUUUGCUGGUGCUUCCCUGGAGAACGCCUUGACCCCAAGGAGGUGCCAGGUGGUGGUGGUGUGGGGACGGCUGCCGAAUGCAGCAGGACCAACUCUGCUGUGCCAGGAGCGCUGUGGGACGGCUCCUGCCUGCUCCUCCUGGGGCCAGGCUGGGCAGGAGGUGAAGGUGAGGAGGGGAACGGAGCAGGGUCCAGCUGGAGCCGUGCUGGGCUGCUGCUCACACUGCGCGGUCCCUUCCUCUGUUCCCCCGUAGCCCCUCUCCUUCCCUCAGACCUUCCCGCACAUCCUUCCCUCUUCCCUCUUCCCUCUCCGUUCAGCCAAUUCUCUCCCAAAUAA